This is a non-coding RNA of Trichobilharzia regenti, 49 nucleotides long. The record is from Rfam. Lineage: Eukaryota; Metazoa; Platyhelminthes; Trematoda; Strigeidida; Schistosomatidae.
AUCUAGCUGACGAGUCCUAAAUAGGACGAAAUGCGCAUCCCAGCUAGAU